Brevibacterium yomogidense is the source of this 87-nucleotide non-coding RNA. The record is from Rfam. NCBI's taxonomy places the organism in Bacteria, Bacillati, Actinomycetota, Actinomycetes, Micrococcales, Brevibacteriaceae.
CGACACAGCGUGGGAGAGCCGCUCAGGCGGCGCCGUAGGUGCAAUCCCUCCCCGGGAAACUCUCAGGCCCAGUACCGCGAUGUGCAG